RNAcentral lists this ribosomal RNA (429 nucleotides) under Acidobacteriota bacterium. RNAcentral's name for it is "Acidobacteria bacterium partial 16S ribosomal RNA". It matches the Rfam family "Bacterial small subunit ribosomal RNA", at positions 355 to 776 of the family's 1533-position model. Lineage: Bacteria; Pseudomonadati; Acidobacteriota. The record is from RNAcentral.
UGGGGAAUUUUGGACAAUGGGGGAAACCCUGAUCCAUCCAUCCCGCGUGUGCGAUGAAGGCCUUCGGGUUGUAAAGCACUUUUGGCAGGAAAGAAACGUCAUGGGUUAAUACCCCGUGAAACUGACGGUACCUGCAGAAUAAGCACCGGCUAACUACGUGCCAGCAGCCGCGGUAAUACGUAGGGUGCAAGCGUUAGUCGGCAUUACUGGGCGUAAAGCGUGCGCAGGCGGUUCGGAAAGAAAGAUGUGAAAUCCCAGAGCUCAACUUUGGAGCUGCAUUUUUAACUACCGGGCUAGAGUGUGUCAGAGGGAGGUGGAAUUCCGCGUGUAGCAGUGAAAUGCGUAGAUAUGCGGAGGAACACCGAUGGCGAAGGCAGCCUCCUGGGAUAACACUGACGCUCAUGCACGAAAGCGUGGGGAGCAAACAGG